UCUUUUCUCCUUUGCCUCCUUCCAAGGUGUGUCCACAGCCAGCGUUUCUUUAUGCUUUUCCCUCAGUCUGAGACCUAGGAACAGGAGAGGCCAGUGCUGUGAAUUUCAUGUUUCAUGGCCUCCCCAGCAAGCCAGCCCACGAAAUUCCACACAGGGAGGAGGAAGAGGAGGAGGAGGAGGAGCUGCCACUGUCCCCGAGGGGAGCAGCUGACACUCUCCCCUUGACUGCACCAGGCCUUGGGGGUAUGGGGCCUCCACGGGCGUGGGCUGGGGGAGGAUAGGCUCCUAAUUAGUUUGGAUGCGCUUGGAGUCAGGGCACCUUUUCCCCAGUGGGCAGUUCUGCACCCUGAACAGCCGUGGGGAGAAGGGCAGCGGGAGGACGGCCAGAUAAUUCCAGAAGAAAGGCUCCAGGAGUGGCAGCAGAACUGCUGUUAUUUUCAGAGGAGUCUAAUUACUUUCCCCAGGCACACGUUCUGGCAGUUCCGCCAUGAGAACCCCCAGACCCGGGUUGGGGGCCCGCCCCCCGAGGGGCUGCCGG
RNAcentral lists this small RNA (538 nucleotides) under Pan troglodytes (chimpanzee). Its description in RNAcentral is "processed transcript". Lineage: Eukaryota; Metazoa; Chordata; Mammalia; Primates; Hominidae. The record is from RNAcentral.